This 497-nucleotide ribosomal RNA is filed under the name uncultured bacterium. RNAcentral's name for it is "partial 16S ribosomal RNA". It matches the Rfam family "Bacterial small subunit ribosomal RNA", at positions 28 to 507 of the family's 1533-position model. The record is from RNAcentral.
GAUGAACGCUGGCGGCGUGCCUAACACAUGCAAGUCGAGCGAACAGACGAGGAGCUUGCUCCUCUGCCGUUAGCGGCGGACGGGUGAGUAACACGUGGAUAACCUGCCUAUAAGACUGGGAUAAUUUCGGGAAACCGGAGCUAAUACCGGAUCAUAUAUUGAACCGCAUGGUUCAAUAGUGAAUGACGGUUUUGCUGUCACUUAUAGAUGGAUUCGCGUCGCAUUAGCUAGUUGGUAAGGUAACGGCUUACCAAGGCUACGAUGCGUAGCCGACCUGAGAGGAUGAUCAGCCACACUGGAACUGAGACACGGUCCAGACUCCUACGGGAGGCAGCAGUAGGGAAUCUUCCACAAUGGGCGAAAGCUUGACGGAGCAACGCCGCGUGAGUGAUGAAGGUCUUCGGAUCGUAAAACUCUGUUAUUAGGGAAGAACAAAUGUGUAAGUAACUAUGGACGUCUUGACGGUACCUAAUCAGAAAGCCACGGCUAACUACGUG